RNAcentral lists this unclassified non-coding RNA (143 nucleotides) under uncultured Ascomycota. Its description in RNAcentral is "sequence contains ITS2". Lineage: Eukaryota; Fungi; Ascomycota. The record is from RNAcentral.
CAACCAUCAAGCUUAAGCUUGGUAUUGGAUGCCACUUGUUUGGUGCAUCUCAAAAUUAGUGGCGGUGCUAUUUAGCUUCAAGUGUAGUAAAUUUCUCACUUCUGGAGUGUGUUGUACCUGCUAGAACCCCCUAAUUUAUCAAG